Molecule: ribosomal RNA, 262 nt
Filed under: uncultured bacterium
Lineage: Bacteria
Description: partial 16S ribosomal RNA
Rfam family: Bacterial small subunit ribosomal RNA
Source: RNAcentral
CGACCGGCGCACGGGUGCGUAACGCGUAUGCAACCUACCUGUAACAGGGGGAUAACACUGAGAAAUCGGUACUAAUACCGCAUAACACUAUGAGAGGCAUCUCUUGUGGUUGAAAGUUUCGGCGGUUACAGAUGGGCAUGCGUUGUAUUAGCUGGUUGGUAAGGUAACGGCUUACCAAGGCGACGAUACAUAGGGGGACUGAGAGGUUAACCCCCCCACACUGGUACUGAGACACGGACCAGACUCCUACGGGAGGCAGCAG